AUACGGAGGGGGUUAGCGUUGUUCGGAAUUACUGGGCGUAAAGCGCACGUAGGCGGACUGGAAAGUUGGGGGUGAAAUCCCGGGGUUCAACCCCGGAACUGCCUCCAAAACUUCCAAUCUAGAGAUCGAGAGAGGUGAGUGGAAUUCCAAGUGUAGAGGUGAAAUUCGUAGAUAUUUGGAGGAACACCAGUGGCGAAGGCGGCUCACUGGCUCGAUACUGACGCUGAGGUGCGAAAGCGUGGGGAGCAAACAGGAUUAGAUACCCUAGUAGUCC
RNAcentral lists this ribosomal RNA (274 nucleotides) under uncultured bacterium. Its description in RNAcentral is "partial 16S ribosomal RNA". It matches the Rfam family "Bacterial small subunit ribosomal RNA", at positions 523 to 796 of the family's 1533-position model. The record is from RNAcentral.